CAGCAGCCGCGGUAAAACAGAGGGUGCAAGCGUUAAUCGGAAUUACUGGGCGUAAAGCGCGCGUAGGUGGUUCGCCAAGUUGGAUGUGAAAUCCCCGGGCUCAACCUGGGAACUGCAUCCAAAACUGGCGAGCUAGAGUAUGGUAGAGGGUGGUGGAAUUUCCUGUGUAGCGGUGAAAUGCGUAGAUAUAGGAAGGAACAUCAGUGGCGAAGGCGACCACCUGGACUGAUACUGACACUGAGGUGCGAAAGCGUGGGGAGCAAACAGGAUUAGAUACCCCUGUAGUCCCUGUCUCUUAUAC
This 301-nucleotide ribosomal RNA is filed under the name uncultured bacterium. Its description in RNAcentral is "partial 16S ribosomal RNA". It matches the Rfam family "Bacterial small subunit ribosomal RNA", at positions 509 to 807 of the family's 1533-position model. The record is from RNAcentral.